Drosophila virilis is the source of this 961-nucleotide long non-coding RNA. RefSeq lists it as uncharacterized. Lineage: Eukaryota; Metazoa; Arthropoda; Insecta; Diptera; Drosophilidae. The record is from RefSeq and is a predicted model, not a curated record.
GCGAACCACAAAUCGAUAACGUCAAACAAUCGGAACUUCUAACUCAUGAACAAAAUAAACAGCUGUAACAACUAUGAACAUAUCGGGCCCUGGUUUCGGACCCAGCGUACCCGCCCUACCAUGAGACGAUCACCUACACUCGUCUCCCUCAUUUGCCAUUAGAUGGCCAUCAGCCUGUGGCGGCUGUAAUGCCAACUCUCCCCAUCAAAGAAAAUUUAGACGGACAUUUCUCUCUUCAGAUACGGCAUGUUAUCUUCAAGCUGUUAUUGAUAAUUUCGUACUCGCGAACAUUUCCGGCGUUUUAAACCAGAAUACCUUUUUUAUGUAUUAAUAUGUAUUAAUAUGUGUUUCCAACGAAAGGCGUUGUUUUCCUUGUUUGUUUACCUUGUCUGCCUAAAGAGCUCUCUGGGUGGGGGGCACCUGUACCUGAGACGCAAUAAUCUUUGGGCCCUUUCCUUCCCGGCUGGCACUUUCGGAAAUUUACUUUAUUCAAACUAGUAGUAGAAAAAAAAAAUUGGUUCUCUUUCAGGGGGCACAAUGGGAAGUCUGCGUCUGACUCUGCCGUUUACUCAGGCGAGGAGGCACGAAAUGGAACAGACUCACUCGGAUGAUAUGGGCCGCCUCUUCGUCGUAUGAGUCCCUUCCAUAAUGGCUCGUCUCUCCGUCACGUGGUUUACGCCGACACUUGGCCGCGCUUUGAAAAUCCGACCCGUGAAUACCUGGGUUGAUCUGGCCAGCGUCCUCCGACGCGGGAUUCAAGCGUGGUGUGCCACCGAAUGGCUGCGGCUGCUCUAAUAGUGUAUCGCUUUUAUAGUGGUUUUAAAUGACGACAGUGUGUUUCUGGUGUAAUAUUGUUUCGUGUAUUAUCGCUCUUGUGCACUAUUUCUUUUGCAAUACGUUAGCACAUAAGGAAUUAUCUUGGCAAUUAAAUAAUAAAGACAGCCCGUCAUGAACAAAUGUA